AAGCAUAUCAAUAAGCGGAGGAAAAGAAACCAACAGGGAUUGCCCUAGUAACGGCGAGUGAAGCGGCAACAGCUCAAAUUUGAAAUCUGGCUCUUUCAGAGUCCGAGUUGUAAUUUGCAGAGGGCGCUAUGGCUUUGGCAGCGGUCCAAGUUCCUUGGAACAGGACGUCACAGAGGGUGAGAAUCCCGUACGUGGUCGCUAGCUAUUGCCGUGUAAAGCCCCUUCGACGAGUCGAGUUGUUUGGGAAUGCAGCUCUAAAUGGGAGGUAAAUUUCUUCUAAAGCUAAAUAUUGGCCAGAGACCGAUAGCGCACAAGUAGAGUGAUCGAAAGAUGAAAAGCACUUUGGAAAGAGAGUCAAACAGCACGUGAAAUUGUUGAAAGGGAAGCGCUUGCAGCCAGACUUGCUUGCAGUUGCUCAUCCGGGCUUUUGCCCGGUGCACUCUUCUGUAGGCAGGCCAGCAUCAGUUUGGGCGGUGGGAUAAAGGUCUCUGUCACGUACCUCUCUUCGGGGAGGCCUUAUAGGGGAGACGACAUACCACCAGCCUAGACUGAGGUCCGCGCAUCUGCUAGGAUGCUGGCGUAAUGGCUGUAAGCGGCCCGUCUUGAAACACGGACCAAGGAGUCUAACAUCUAUGCGAGUGUUUGGGUGUCAAGCCCGAGCGCGUAAUGAAAGUGAACGGAGGUGGGAACCCGCAAGGGUGCACCAUCGACCGAUCCUGAAGUUUACGGAAGGAUUUGAGUAAGAGCAUGGCUGUUGGGACCCGAAAGAUGGUGAACUAUGCUUGAAUAGGGUGAAGCCAGAGGAAACUCUGGUGGAGGCUCGCAGCGGUUCUGACGUGCAAAUCGAUCGUCAAAUUUGGGCAUAGGGGCGAAAGACUAAUCGAACUAUCUAGUAGCU
Molecule: ribosomal RNA, 898 nt
Filed under: Bipolaris mediocris
Lineage: Eukaryota; Fungi; Ascomycota; Dothideomycetes; Pleosporales; Pleosporaceae
Description: LSU rRNA
Rfam family: Eukaryotic large subunit ribosomal RNA
Source: RNAcentral